Molecule: long non-coding RNA, 460 nt
Filed under: Helianthus annuus (common sunflower)
Lineage: Eukaryota; Viridiplantae; Streptophyta; Magnoliopsida; Asterales; Asteraceae
Description: hypothetical non coding rna
Source: RNAcentral
UUUACAGUUCACAAAGAUUAAACAAUUUCAAGCCACAAAAUGACUACUAGUUUGUCUAUAUAAAUUUGCUGUGUAAAAUAAAUAAAUUAAAAAAAAUUGUAGUGGUAAAACCACAAAGCUACAUGAAUUGACUUAAAAAAGUCAAAAUUGGACUUAUAUGUUAACAAUGGAGUACAAAAAAUUAUAGCAGGAUAGCAGAUCUACUUAAAGUUUCAACAAAUUUGUUCAAAUUACUGAUCAUUUAGCUUCCAAAAUAAAUUAGUAACAUAAAAAGUUAAACAAGCCCCCACAAAAUGUAUAAAAAUUUGAAUACUAAAACCCUAAAUUCUUAAUCAAAACAUUGAAUUUCAUCAAACCCAUAAAACAAUUUCAGUAACUUACUCAAAAUGUUUGCAGAUUCACUGUGAAGAUUCGUUUAGGGAGUAAUGAUUCGUUUGAAAGGAUUAAUCAUUGGACGUUG